AUUGAACGUUGGCGGCGGGCCUAACACAUGCAAGUCGAACGGUAGCACAGAGAGCUUGCUCUCGGGUGACGAGUGGCGGACGGGUGAGUAACGUCUGGGAAACUGCCCGAUGGAGGGGGAUAACUACUGGAGACGGUAGCUAAUACCGCAUAACGUCGCAAGACCAAAGUGGGGGACCUUCGGGCCUCACACCAUCGGAUGUGCCCAGAUGGGAUUAGCUAGUAGGUGGGGUAAUGGCUCACCUAGGCGACGAUCCCUAGCUGGUCUGAGAGGAUGACCAGCCACACUGGAACUGAGACACGGUCCAGACUCCUACGGGAGGCAGCAGUGGGGAAUAUUGCACAAUGGGCGCAAGCCUGAUGCAGCCAUGCCGCGUGUAUGAAGAAGGCCUUCGGGUUGUAAAGUACUUUCAGCGGGGAGGAAGGCGGUGAAGUUAAUAGCUUCACCGAUUGACGUUACCCGCAGAAGAAGCACCGGCUAACUCCGUGCCAGCAGCCGCCGUAA
This 504-nucleotide ribosomal RNA is filed under the name uncultured bacterium. Its description in RNAcentral is "partial 16S ribosomal RNA". It matches the Rfam family "Bacterial small subunit ribosomal RNA", at positions 30 to 523 of the family's 1533-position model. The record is from RNAcentral.